CAGCAGCCACGGUAAUACAGAGGUCUCAAGCGUUGUUCGGAUUCAUUGGGCGUAAAGGGUGCGUAGGCGGUCGGGUAAGUCGGAUGUGAAAUCCUGGGGCUCAACCUCAGAACUGCAUUCGAUACUGCUUGGCUAGAGGACUGGAGAGGAGACUGGAAUUCACGGUGUAGCAGUGAAGUGCGUAGAUAUCGUGAGGAAGACCAGCGGCGAAGGCGGGUCUCUGGACAGUUCCUGACGCUGAUGCACGAAGGCCAGGGGAGCAAACAGGAUUAGAUACCCGCGUAGUCCCUGUCUCUUAUAC
Molecule: ribosomal RNA, 301 nt
Filed under: uncultured bacterium
Lineage: Bacteria
Description: partial 16S ribosomal RNA
Rfam family: Bacterial small subunit ribosomal RNA
Source: RNAcentral